Molecule: ribosomal RNA, 422 nt
Filed under: uncultured Lachnospiraceae bacterium
Lineage: Bacteria; Bacillati; Bacillota; Clostridia; Lachnospirales; Lachnospiraceae
Description: bacterial SSU rRNA
Rfam family: Bacterial small subunit ribosomal RNA
Source: RNAcentral
UGGGGAAUAUUGCACAAUGGGCGAAAGCCUGAUGCAGCAACGCCGCGUGAACGAUGAAGGCCUUCGGGUCGUAAAGCUCUAUCAGCAGGGAAGAUAAUGACGGUACCUGAGUAAGAAGCUCCGGCUAAAUACGUGCCAGCAGCCGCGGUAAUACGUAUGGAGCAAGCGUUAUCCGGAUUUACUGGGUGUAAAGGGAGUGUAGGCGGCUUUGCAAGUCAGAUGUGAAAGCCCGGGGCUCAACCCCGGGACUGCAUUUGAAACUGUGAAGCUGGAGUGUCGGAGAGGUAAGUGGAAUUCCUAGUGUAGCGGUGAAAUGCGUAGAUAUUAGGAAGAACACCAGUGGCGAAGGCGGCUUACUGGACGAUUACUGACGCUGAGGCUCGAAAGCGUGGGGAGCAAACAGGAUUAGAUACCCUGGUAGU